GCUGAUGUAGCUCAGUUGGUAGAGCAACUGAUUCGUAAUCAGUAGGUCGAAGGUUCGACUCCUUUCAUCAGCACCA
RNAcentral lists this transfer RNA (76 nucleotides) under Burkholderiales bacterium. RNAcentral describes it as "tRNA-Thr". It matches the Rfam family "tRNA". From Rfam's summary of the family: Transfer RNA (tRNA) molecules are approximately 80 nucleotides in length. Their secondary structure includes four short double-helical elements and three loops (D, anti-codon, and T loops). The record is from RNAcentral. RNAcentral also lists the same sequence under 1 other name. Lineage: Bacteria; Pseudomonadati; Pseudomonadota; Betaproteobacteria; Burkholderiales.